This 253-nucleotide ribosomal RNA is filed under the name uncultured bacterium. RNAcentral's name for it is "partial 16S ribosomal RNA". It matches the Rfam family "Bacterial small subunit ribosomal RNA", at positions 524 to 776 of the family's 1533-position model. The record is from RNAcentral.
UACGUAGGGGGCUAGCGUUGUCCGGAAUCAUUGGGCGUAAAGCGCGUGUAGGCGGUUCGGUAAGUCCGCUGUGAAAGUCGGGGGCUCAACCCUCGGAAGCCGGUGGAUACUGUCGAGCUAGAGUACGGAAGAGGCGAGUGGAAUUCCUGGUGUAGCGGUGAAAUGCGCAGAUAUCAGGAGGAACGCCAAUUGCGAAGGCAGCUCGCUGGGACGUUACUGACGCUGAGACGCGAAAGCGUGGGGAGCAAACAGG